This 1493-nucleotide ribosomal RNA is filed under the name metagenome. Its description in RNAcentral is "SSU rRNA". It matches the Rfam family "Eukaryotic small subunit ribosomal RNA", at positions 292 to 1801 of the family's 1831-position model. The record is from RNAcentral.
AAAUCAUUCAAAUUUCUGCCCUAUCAACUUUCGAUGGUAGGGUAGUGGCCUACCAUGGUUGUGACGGGUAACGGAGAAUUAGGGUUCGACUCCGCAGAAGCAGCCUGAGAGACGGCUACUACAUCCAAGGAUAGCAGCAGGCGCGCAAAUUACCCAAUGCUAAUGCGAGUGAGGUAGUGACAAUAAAUAACGAGAAAGGACACUACGUGUCUUUUCAUCGGAAUGAGAACAAUUUAAACCUCUUAUCGAGAACCAAUUGGAGGGCAAGUCUGGUGCCAGCAGCCGCGGUAAUUCCAGCUCCAAUAGCGUAUACUAAAGUUGUUGCAGUUAAAAAGCUCGUAGUUGGAUUUUGGAUCGGUGUCAUUGGUCCGCUAGGCUUAGUCCUAGACGUGUAUCGAUUGUACCGGUCUUCUGUUUGGGAACUUCUUCUGUUCUUCACUGAGUGGGAGUAGGGACCAGGCCGUUUACCUUGAAGAAAUUGGAGUGCUUAAAGCAAGCCAGUGCGAUUGAACAUAUUAGCAUGGAAUAAUAAAAUAUGACUUUGGUCUUAUUUUGUUGGUUUCCGAGAUCAGAGUAAUGAUUAAUAGGGAUAGUUGGGGGCAUUAGUACCUGGCAGUCAGAGGUGAAAUUCUUAGAUUUGCCAGAGACUAACUACUGCGAAAGCAUUUGCCAAGGAUGUUUUCAUUAAUCAAGAACGAAAGUUAGGGGAUAGAAGGCGAUUAGACACCGCCGUAUUCCUAACCAUAAACGAUGCCGACUAGGGAUUGGAAGAUGUUUCAAUUUUGACUCCUUCAGCACCUUAUGAGAAAUUAAGAGUCUUUGGGUUCUGGGGGGAGUAUGGUCGCAAGGCUGAAACUUAAAGGAAUUGACGGAAGGGCACCACCAGGAGUGGAGCCUGCGGCUUAAUUUGACCCAACACGGGAAAACUUACCAGGUCCAGACAUAAAAAGGAUUGACAGAUUGAGAGCUCUUUCUUGAUUAUAUGGUUGGUGGUGCAUGGCCGUUCUUAGUUCGUGGAGUGAUUUGUCUGCUUUAUUGCGAUAACGAACGAGACCCCCGCCUGCUAAAUAGCUGGGCAAACAUUACGUUUGUAAGCCAGCUUCUUAGAGGGACUAUGUGUGUAAGCACAUGGAAGCUGGGGGCAAUAACAGGUCUGUGAUGCCCUUCGAUGUUCUGGGCCGCACGCGCGCUACACUGACGGCAGCAACGAGUUUUGACCUUGGCCGAUGGGUCUGGGUAAUCUUGUAAAUGUCGUCGUGCUGGGGAUCGAUUAUUGUAAUUUUUGGUCGUAAACGAGGAAUUCCUAGUAAGCGCAAGUCAUCAGCUUGCGUUGAUUACGUCCCUGCCCUUUGUACACACCGCCCGUCGCUCCUACCGAUGGAUGGUCCGGUGAGGCCUCGAGACCGCGAAUGUUAGACUUGUUUCAAGCCAAACGUUUGUGGGAACUUGCCCGAACCUUAUCAUCUAGAGGAAGGAGAAGUCGUAACAAGGUU